CCACACUGUCUCCGCACUUACCCAAUAUAGUAUAGUAGUAGUAUAAAAGAAAAAAGAAAACACGACCAUUUGCUUCUCACUUCACCACCACCAACUUUUCUUCAAUGGCUUCUCUCACUGGCGCCGCCUCUCGUUUCCUCCCCUCCAUCAAAUUCACCAGCUUCUCCACCAAACUCUAUUUCUCAUCCUCUCACGUGUCACCUCUUAAGUGCCCUAAAUCAUCUCCUCUUUUAUCCCACGUGUUUCGCUACCAGAAGCAAUCAUUGGUUCGAGUAUCAAGUGGAAGUUUUAGCACUGUAUCAUCGCCUAAAUGUGCUGCAUCUGAUCCUGAUCAAUUGAAAAGUGCCAGAGAGGAUAUUAAAGAGCUACUUAAGACUAAGUUUUGUCAUCCUAUUUUGGUUCGUUUGGGCUGGCACGAUGCUGGUACUUACAACAAGAAUAUUGAGGAGUGGCCUCAAAGAGGUGGAGCUAAUGGAAGCUUAAGAUUUGAAGUCGAACUGAAACAUGGAGCCAAUGCUGGACUUGUAAAUGCACUGAAACUUCUCCAGCCUAUCAAGGACAAGUAUUCUGGUGUGACUUAUGCAGAUUUAUUCCAGCUGGCCAGUGCAACCGCUGUUGAGGAGGCUGGGGGGCCCAAGAUUCCCAUGAAAUAUGGGAGAGUGGAUGUGUCUGAACCUGAGCAAUGCCCAGAAGAAGGAAGGCUUCCUGAUGCUGGUCCCCCUUCCCCUGCUGCUCAUUUGCGUGAUGUCUUCUACAGGAUGGGGCUAAAUGAUAAGGAAAUUGUCGCACUUUCUGGGGCUCACACUUUGGGGAGAUCCAGACCAGAACGUAGUGGCUGGGGCAAGCCCGAAACAAAAUACACGAAAGAUGGACCAGGAGCCCCAGGAGGGCAAUCAUGGACCGCGCAGUGGCUGAAAUUUGACAAUUCCUACUUUAAGGAUAUUAAAGAGAGACGAGACCAAGAUCUGCUAGUUUUGCCAACAGAUGCUGUUCUUUUUGAAGAUCCUUCGUUUAAGGAAUAUGCAGAGAAGUAUGCUGUAGAUCAAGACUCAUUUUUCAAAGAUUAUGCUGAAGCACAUGCUAGCCUGAGCAACCUUGGAGCUAAAUUUGAUCCCCCUCAGGGGUUCUCCAUUUAAAACAUUUUCACCCGAGGUCAACCAGAGAAAUUUGUGGCAGCCUACCUGUAAGGAUUAACUACAAAUUAUCAUAUCUACUUCUGCCGUUACUUUUAAUUAGACAAGAUCAGGCUAGGCUAAUACCAAAUCCUGUGUAUCAAACUUGAAAGCCUAGUGGAGAGAAAUAAAUUCAACGAGUCUUCCCUAUUUGAAUUGCAGAGAAGCUCUCGGAUGCUAUGAACCAAAAUAUUCAGCAGAAUAUGAAGCUUUAGGGGUAGCCCAGACAAGCAUCUCCUGACAAACUAUUUUCUAUAUAUCAUGAUUCUAAUUGGUGUUGGCACGUUUGACUUCUCUCUGUUUGGGAAUUAAGGUUUUUUGACUGAUAUGAUAGGAGAUAUGCGUUGUGUUUUCACAGUCUUGGCUUAGGAAUAUGUUGCAAUCACUCACGAUGUUGCUUGGUUAUGGACAUGCUACUUGAAUUAUACACUUCAUGCCUUGAAAUUCACUUAAUAAGGACUGGAAUAGCUGCAAUUUUCUACUUCAA
Lycium barbarum (goji berry) is the source of this 1659-nucleotide RNA transcript. It is a transcript of the gene named probable L-ascorbate peroxidase 6, chloroplastic/mitochondrial, with no coding region annotated. Lineage: Eukaryota; Viridiplantae; Streptophyta; Magnoliopsida; Solanales; Solanaceae. The record is from RefSeq and is a predicted model, not a curated record. The transcript has 12 exons.